RNAcentral lists this ribosomal RNA (389 nucleotides) under Macaca fascicularis (crab-eating macaque). RNAcentral describes it as "partial 12S ribosomal RNA". It matches the Rfam family "Bacterial small subunit ribosomal RNA", at positions 794 to 1383 of the family's 1533-position model. The record is from RNAcentral. Lineage: Eukaryota; Metazoa; Chordata; Mammalia; Primates; Cercopithecidae.
GCUUGGCCCUAAACCUCAGUAGUUAGAUAACAAAACUACUCGCCAGAAUACUACAAGCAACAGCUUAAAACUCAAAGGACUUGACGGUGCUUUACAUCCCCCUAGAGGAGCCUGUUCCGUAAUCGAUAAACCCCGAUCCACCCCACCCUCUCUUGCUCAGCCUAUAUACCGCCAUCUUCAGCAAACCCUAAUGAAGGCUACAAAGUGAGCGCAAACGCCACUGCCGCGAAUACGUUAGGUCAAGGUGUAGCCCAUGAGACGGUAAAAAAUGGGCUACAUUUUCUAUUUCAGAAAACCCCACGAAAACCCUUAUGAAACUUAAGGGUCCAAGGAGGAUUUAGCAGUAAAUUAAGAAUAGAGUGCUUAAUUGAACCAGGCCAUAAAGCGCG